Long non-coding RNA from Rhagoletis zephyria (snowberry fruit fly), 296 nucleotides. RefSeq lists it as uncharacterized. Lineage: Eukaryota; Metazoa; Arthropoda; Insecta; Diptera; Tephritidae. The record is from RefSeq and is a predicted model, not a curated record.
GUCCGCGGGCUUUAUUGCCUUUUAUUGGUGGGCGCAAUCAGAGAACUUAGAUAGAUAGAGAAGGUGCAAAUUUUUGGAACGUAAAAUUGUUUGGCUGAAAAGUAAAUCCAUGGAAUAUCACCACAUUGCGAUUAACAUUUGAACAAGAGUUAACAGCAAAAAACGUAUAUAUUCUGUUAUGAUAAUGUUAUGUUAUGUUGCAAGUGCCUGGCUGUGUUGCUAGGUUGCUGUUGAAUGCAGAAACAUAUUCAUGUAUAUGUUUUUAUAAAAUUAAAUAAAUUAAAAGUUAAAUUAUA